This 460-nucleotide ribosomal RNA is filed under the name uncultured bacterium. Its description in RNAcentral is "partial 16S ribosomal RNA". It matches the Rfam family "Bacterial small subunit ribosomal RNA", at positions 338 to 795 of the family's 1533-position model. The record is from RNAcentral.
CCUACGGGCGGCAGCAGUGAGGAAUAUUGGUCAAUGGGCGGGAGCCUGAAUCAGCCAAGUCGCGUGAGGGAUGACGGUCCUACGGAUUGUAAACCUCUUUUGCCGGGGAGCAAGCGUGCGUUCGUGAACGCGCGUCGAGAGUACCCGGAGAAAAAGCAUCGGCUAACUCCGUGCCAGCAGCCGAGGUACUACGGGGGAUGCGAGCGUUAUCCGGAUUGAUUGGGUUUAAGGGGUGCGUAGGCGGGAUGCCAAGUCAGCGGUAAAAAUGCGGUGCUCAACGCCGUCGUGCCGUUGAAACUGGGGAUGUUGAGUGGGCGAGAAGUAUGCGGAAUGCGUGGUGUAGCGGUGAAAUGCAUAGAUAUCACGCAGAACUCCGAUUGCGAAGGCAGCAUACCGGCGCCCGUCUGACGCUGAGGCACGAAAGCGUGGGGAUCGAACAGGAUUAGAUACCCGUGUAGUC